UUGAAGAGUUUGAUCAUGGCUCAGAUUGAACGCUGGCGGCAGGCCUAACACAUGCAAGUCGAGCGGUUGAGGAUAGCUUGCUAUCCAAAGCAGCGGCGGACGGGUGAGUAACGCGUGGGAAUCUACCUAGUAGAGGGGGACAACUCGGGGAAACUCGAGCUAAUACCGCAUACGCCCUACGGGGGAAAGGAGGGGAUCUUCGGACCUUCCGCUAUUAGAUGAGCCCGCGUUAGAUUAGCUAGUUGGUAGGGUAAAGGCCUACCAAGGCGACGAUCUAUAGCUGGUCUGAGAGGAUGAUCAGCCACAUUGGGACUGAGACACGGCCCAAACUCCUACGGGAGGCAGCAGUGGGGAAUAUUGGACAAUGGGCGAAAGCCUGAUCCAGCAAUGCCGCGUGAGUGAUGAAGGCCUUAGGGUUGUAAAGCUCUUUUACCAGGGAUGAUAAUGACAGUACCUGGAGAAUAAGCUCCGGCUAACUCCGUGCCAGCAGCCGCGGUAAUACGGAGGGAGCUAGCGUUGUUCGGAAUUACUGGGCGUAAAGCGCACGCAGGCGGUUUGUUAAGCUAGAUGUGAAAGCCCCGGGCUCAACCUGGGAAUAGCAUUUAGAACUGGCAGACUAGAGUCUUGGAGAGGGGAGUGGAAUUUCUGGUGUAGCGGUGAAAUGCGUAGAUAUCAGAAGGAACAUCAGUGGCGAAGGCGACUCCCUGGCCAAAGACUGACGCUCAUGUGCGAAAGUGUGGGUAGCGAACAGGAUUAGAUAC
Molecule: ribosomal RNA, 761 nt
Filed under: uncultured eukaryote
Lineage: Eukaryota
Description: partial Bacterial small subunit ribosomal RNA
Rfam family: Bacterial small subunit ribosomal RNA
Source: RNAcentral